Homo sapiens (human) is the source of this 335-nucleotide long non-coding RNA. The record is from Ensembl. Lineage: Eukaryota; Metazoa; Chordata; Mammalia; Primates; Hominidae.
CCUGAUCAGUCAGCAGCCAUCAAUGAGGCAAGAUCCACCAGAAACAGAAACAGACUAGGACUCUCUGAAAGCUCAGCUGAUUGUUAACAUUUUCUGGCAAUAUUUUUAAUCAAGGUAAUUAUUCUUUCUGCUUCUUCAAUCUGCUAAAUACAAGAUGUCAAAAGUCCUGGAAAUGGCUAGAAUCUGUCCUGAACUCUUGGCAUCUUCUGAUACUCAACGAUGGAGCACGGCGUGAACAUCAUCCUGCUGCCCUACACAAUAUUGUCUAGACUAUGGGUAGCUAAAAAAUCUAUUUGCAAUUAAUAAUAAAGAAAUAAAAACAAAGUUCUGAUUAA